RNAcentral lists this unclassified non-coding RNA (200 nucleotides) under soil metagenome. RNAcentral describes it as "partial internal transcribed spacer 1". The record is from RNAcentral.
CCGAGUUUACAACUCCCAAACCCAAUGUGAACGUUACCAAACUGUUGCCUCGGCGGGAUCUCUGCCCCGGGCGCGUCGCAGCCCCGGACCAAGGCGCCCGCCGGAGGACCAACCAAAACUCUUAUUGUAUACCCCCUCGCGGGUUUUUUUAUAAUCUGAGCCUUCUCGGCGCCUCUCGUAAGCGUUUCGAAAAUGAAUCA